Drosophila persimilis is the source of this 1617-nucleotide RNA transcript. It is a transcript of the gene named uridine and thymidine phosphorylase, with no coding region annotated. The transcript is spliced from 5 exons. The record is from RefSeq and is a predicted model, not a curated record. NCBI's taxonomy places the organism in Eukaryota, Metazoa, Arthropoda, Insecta, Diptera, Drosophilidae.
AAUUUUAUAUUUGAAAAUAAAAAUGGCCGCAAAGUGCAAAACUGCAGGCGCAAUGCCAUGCGACUUGACCCGCGACGUUUGCCAGUUGAAGGAAUCGGUGAGGUCACAGGGCAAGCAGCUUGGGCGGCUGGUCAGGCACAUGAAGAUGGGGUGCAAAAAGCCGCCAAAUCAGAGCACUCUAAAGGGUCUCAAUCCCUGCCUGCCUUGCUUCAAGCCUGACUUUCUCUAUCAUCUGGGCAUGGACACGGCCACGACGAACUUCCCCAAGGUCUUUGGCGAUGUGCGGUUUGUUUGCAUGGGUGGUACGCCUGGACGCAUGGAGAGAUUUGCUUAUAGGAUUAUGAAGGACCUCCGUCUGAAGCUGAGCCCGGUAACUACUCUUAGGAAUAUGACCGAUGGUCAUCGCUUUGCGCUCUACAAAGUGGGCCCAGUACUGUGUGUAACUCAUGGCAUGGGGUGUCCGUCGAUUUCCAUACUGCUCCAUGAGCUCAUCAAGAUGAUGCACUAUGCAAAGUGUCAGAAUCCCGUCUUCAUCAGAAUUGGGACCUGCGGCGGCAUCGGAAUAGAGCCCGGAACCGUGGUCAUCAGCUCGGAGGCACUGGACUGCAAGCUCAAUCCCUGUUAUGAGGUAAUCGUUCAGGGAAAAAUCGUGCAGCAUUGCAGCAAACUAGACCAGUGUUUGGCCCAAGAACUCCGAUCACUGGCGAAUCCUUGCGAAGUUGACUUUGAGGCAAUUAUUGGUAAGACCAUUUGCGCCGACGACUUCUACGAAGGCCAGUCCCGACUCGAUGGUGCCUUCUGCGACUACACGAGUCACUCGAAGAUCGCCUAUCUUUUGGGCCUGAAGGAUAACGGAGUGGUCAAUUUCGAUAUGGAGAGUACCGCUUUUGCCGCUCUCACAAAAAGGGCCAAUAUACGCUCUGCCGUCGUCUGCGUUAGCGUCAUCGAUCGUAUAAAGGGUGAUCAGAUACGUGCAUGUCCGAAGUCCGUAAGUGAGUGGGAGAAGCGACCUCGGGAGCUCGUGUCGCGAUACAUUCGCAAAGUACUCCUGGACGAAGUGAAAGUAAAAGACGUUCCUGCCCGCUGCGUGGGAGGAGAAUCGGUGAUCUGAAUUUCAGCGAAGGAUUAUUUAUUUACGUACUUUCGCGGCACGCCCGAGGCUUUCUAUGGCACGUCGAAGUUCUCAGUUCUCCAAGUAUUCAGCUCUCUGCCAAAAUAAGACCAAACCUGUUACUAUAUCUAGAUAGAGGCAUUCUGGACGCACACUGCACGAAGAAGAGUGAGAGAGAAUGAGUAAGCGCGUGGAAGGGGGUUGCCUAGCCACUGCAGAUUGAUUUCUUCACUCUGGGUAUAAUAAGGAUUUGGUAAUCUGGUAGCCGGUAGCCACAAGGACGAGGACGCGACAUUGAAAUACACUUGCAACCGUGUAAUAUCACAGGAGUCUGCGUACAAACUUGGGUUUCUCUAGCUCUUGUUUAUCUGAGAUCUAGGCGCUCAUCGGGACGGACAGACAUAGCUAUAUCCACUCGACUUUUGAUGCUGAUUAAGAAUAUACAUACUUUGGGGGUCGGAAACGCUUCCGUCUGGGUGUUACACAAAUCCCCCACAAAACUAAUC